CGGAGAUAGCUGGUUCUCCUCGAAAGCUAUUUAGGUAGCGCCUCGUGUAUUACUGUUGGGGGUAGAGCACUGUUUCGGCUAGGGGGUCAUCCCGACUUACCAAACCGAUGCAAACUCCGAAUACCAAUGAGUACGAGCAUGGGAGACAGACUGCGGGUGCUAACGUCCGUAGUCGAGAGGGAAACAACCCAGACUGUCAGCUAAGGUCCCAAAUUAUGAUUAAGUGGGAAACAAUGUGGGAAGGCACAAACAGCUAGGAGGUUGGCUUAGAAGCAGCCAUCCUUUAAAGAAAGCGUAAUAGCUCACUAGUCGAGUCGGCCUGCGUGGAAGAUAUAACGGGGCUAAAUCAUAAACCGAAGCUACAGAUCUUGUUUCAAGAUGGUAGAAGAGCGUUCUGUAAGCCGCUGAAGGCAAGCUGUGAGGCGAGCUGGAGGUAUCAGAAGUGCGAAUGUUGACAUGAGUAACGAUCAAAGAGGUGAAAAACCUCUUCGCCGAAAAACCAAGGGUUCCUGUCCAACGCUAAUCGUGGCAGGGUGAGUCGGCUCCUAAGGCGAGGGCGAAAGCCGUAGUCGAUGGAAAACAGGUUAAUAUUCCUGUACUUCUUAUAAUUGCGAUGGGGUGACGGAGAAGGUUAGGCUAGCACGGCGACGGUUGUCCGUGUUUAAGGUUGUAGGCUGGUGUUUUAGGUAAAUCCGGAACACUAAGGCUGAGAACUGAUGACGACCACUCUAUGAGUGGGAAGUAGUCGAUACCAUGCUUCCAGGAAAAACCUCUAAGCUUCAGGUUGUAAGAAACCGUACCCUAAACCGACACAGGUGGUUAGGUCGAGUAGACCAAGGUGUUUGAGAGAACUAUGGUGAAGGAACUAGGCAAAAUAGCACCGUAACUUCGGGAGAAGGUGCGCCGCGUUUGGUGACAAGACUUGCUCUUAGAGCUGAACGUGGUCGAAGAUACCAGGUGGCUGCGACUGUUUACUAAAAACAUAGCACUCUGCAAACUCGUAAGAGGAAGUAUAGGGUGUGACGCCUGCCCGGUGCCGGAAGGUUAAUUGAUGGGGUUAGCUUAGGCGAAGCUCUUGAUAGAAGCCCCGGUAAACGGCGGCCGUAACUAUAACGGUCCUAAGGUAGCGAAAUUCCUUGUCGGGUAAGUUCCGACCUGCACGAAUGGCGUAACGAUGGCCACACUGUCUCGACCCAGGACUCAGUGAAAUUGAAUUUGCGGUGAAGAUGCCGUAUACGCGCGGCUAGACGGAAAGACCCCGUGCACCUUUACUAUAGGUUCACACUGGACUUUGACUUUAUUUGUGUAGGAUAGGUGGGAGACUUUGAAGCCGAGACGCUAGUCUUGGUGGAGUCGUCCUUGAAAUACCACCCUUGUAAAGUUGAGGCUCUAACUUAGGUCCGUAAUCCGGAUCGAGGACAGUGUGUGCUGGGUAGUUUGACUGGGGCGGUCUCCUCCCAAAGAGUAACGGAGGAGUACGAAGGUAUCCUUAUCACGGUCGGACAUCGUGAGGUAAGUAUAAAGGCAGAAGGAUGCUUGACUGCGAGAUCGACGGAUCGAGCAGGUAGGAAACUAGGUCUUAGUGAUCCGGUGGUUCUGAAUGGAAGGGCCAUCGCUCAACGGAUAAAAGGUACGCCGGGGAUAACAGGCUGAUACUGCCCAAGAGUCCAUAUCGACGGCAGUGUUUGGCACCUCGAUGUCGGCUCAUCUCAUCCUGGGGCUGGAGCAGGUCCCAAGGGUAUGGCUGUUCGCCAUUUAAAGUGGUACGCGAGCUGGGUUUAGAACGUCGUGAGACAGUUCGGUCCCUAUCUGCCGUGCGCGUUGGAGAUUUGAGAGGAUCUGCUCCUAGUACGAGAGGACCGGAGUGGACGAACCUCUGGUGUUCCGGUUGUCACGCCAGUGGCAUUGCCGGGUAGCUAUGUUCGGAAAGGAUAACCGCUGAAAGCAUAUAAGCGGGAAGCCUCUCCCAAGAUUAAAUCUCCCAGAGACUUUAUGUCUCCUAAAGAGUCGUCAUAGACUAUGACGUUGAUAGGCAAGAUGUGUAAGCGUUGUGAGGCGUUGAGCUAACUUGUACUAAUAACUCGUGAGGCUUGAUCAU
RNAcentral lists this ribosomal RNA (2098 nucleotides) under marine metagenome. RNAcentral's name for it is "bacterial LSU rRNA". It matches the Rfam family "Bacterial large subunit ribosomal RNA", at positions 840 to 2925 of the family's 2925-position model. The record is from RNAcentral.